Molecule: ribosomal RNA, 497 nt
Filed under: uncultured bacterium
Lineage: Bacteria
Description: partial 16S ribosomal RNA
Rfam family: Bacterial small subunit ribosomal RNA
Source: RNAcentral
GAUGAACGCUGGCGGCGUGCCUAAUACAUGCAAGUCGAGCGAACGGACGAGACGCUUGCUUCUCUGAUGUUAGCGGCGGACGGGUGAGUAACACGUGGAUACCCUACCUAUCAGACUGGGAUAACUUCGGGAAACCGGAGCUAAUACCGGAUAAUAUUUUGAACCUCAUGGUUCAAAAGUAAAAGACGGUCUUGCUGUCACUUAUAGCUGGAUCCGCGCUGCAUUAGCUAGUUGGUAAGGUAACGGCUUACCAAGGCAACGAUGCAUAGCCGACCUGAGAGGGUGAUCGGCCACACUGGAACUGAGACACGGUCCAGACUCCUACGGGAGGCAGCAGUAGGGAAUCUUCCGCAAUGGGCGAAAGCCUGACGGAGCAACGCCGCGUGAGUGAUGAAGGUCUUCGGAUCGUAAAACUCUGUUAUUAGGGAAGAACAGAUGUGUAAGUAACUGUGCACAUCGUGACGGUACCUAAUCAGAAAGCCACGGCUAACUACGUG